RNAcentral lists this ribosomal RNA (481 nucleotides) under uncultured bacterium. RNAcentral describes it as "bacterial SSU rRNA". It matches the Rfam family "Bacterial small subunit ribosomal RNA", at positions 28 to 507 of the family's 1533-position model. The record is from RNAcentral.
GAUGAACGCUGGCGGCGUGCCUAAUACAUGCAAGUCGAACGCACCACUUCGGUGGUGAGUGGCGAACGGGUGAGUAACACGUAGAUAACCUGCCCUUAAGACGAGGAUAACCGUUGGAAACGAUGGCUAAAACUGGAUAGGAAUAUUGAAGGCAUCUUUAAUAUUUUAAAAAGACCUAGUAAUAGGUAUACUUAAGGAGGGGUCUGCGGCGCAUUAGUUAGUUGGUGAGGUGAUGGCUUACCAAGACGAUGAUGCGUAGCCGGACUGAGAGGUUGAACGGCCACAUUGGGACUGAGAAACGGCCCAAACUCCUACGGGAGGCAGCAGUAGGGAAUUUUCGGCAAUGGGGGAAACCCUGACCGAGCAACGCCGCGUGAAUGACGAAGUACUUCGGUAUGUAAAGUUCUUUUAUCAGGGAAGAAUGACUUAUGGAAAAAUAAGUGUGACGGUACCUGAUGAAUAAGCCCCGGCUAACUAUGUG